GCCUGCAGCCAGAGAGGCAGGAGCUCUCUAAGCCACGAUGCGAGGAGAAGCCUGACUGCAGGAGCACUAGGGCACAUUUACAGAAGUGAUCACUACAGAAAAAACGAGACAAACAUUAUGUGCCGCAGUCUGAGAAGGAAGCAGACAUAUCCCACGCCUUAAAAAAAAUAGCUAUUGGAAGUUCUUCCAUUUUAGGUUUGCAACCCAGCAUUUCAACUUCUCGCAAAGCACAGCCUCUCGGCAAGUUGGCAGGGUUCGGCGGUCUGACCAGCUCUCCCGCUCGCCACGCGCGAGUGUCUACAUUUAUGUUCAGUUACUGAAUGCAGAAUUGAGAGCCUCAAUUGUCAGGAAAGGUGACGGGUGGGGAGCAUCGCGCUCAGAGCAAGGUGCAAAUGACCUUAACAUAAGAGAGAGGAAAACUGAAUACUAUAUUUUGUGCUGUGCGUGUCAUCCUUAGCGUUGGCUUGGACGAGUGGGAAGAGCCGCAUGAAGUAGGAUGCUCUACUUGGAAACCUGUAAUGGUGCGACGGCAUCUUGGACAUUUGGGUUGCUUCAGAUGCCUUGUUUUGCAUCUGGAUCUUCCAUUUGCAGCCCGACAAGAGCAGCAGGCAGGGUUUCGUCUUGAAGUCUGCAAAGUGGUGCAUUUCCUGAGACAAUAUCCGCUCCAAGGCCAGGCCUCUUGCCCCAAGCAUGCCCCCAGGGGAGCACAUGUGCUGGGAUAUCUGGCCUGUGGAGCCACAGCGUUGGUAUUGCCAUGCGUGUUUCCCUUCGGAAAGAGGAUGCUUGGCGCGUGCAUUCUUGUACGCUCCUACAAAGACCAAAUCAGCCGUGCAGGGGCUUGCUGACAUCUGUUUCUCUGCAAUAAUCCUAUGCUACGUACUAAUAAAACCCACCGUGCUUCAAAUCCACCAGGAGAAAUGCUGCUUAUUACUGCAGACAAAUGCGCUUCCUUCC
Alligator mississippiensis (American alligator) is the source of this 954-nucleotide long non-coding RNA. RefSeq lists it as uncharacterized. The record is from RefSeq and is a predicted model, not a curated record. NCBI's taxonomy places the organism in Eukaryota, Metazoa, Chordata, Crocodylia, Alligatoridae. The transcript is spliced from 3 exons.